RNAcentral lists this ribosomal RNA (946 nucleotides) under uncultured Bacillota bacterium. RNAcentral describes it as "bacterial SSU rRNA". It matches the Rfam family "Bacterial small subunit ribosomal RNA", at positions 1 to 917 of the family's 1533-position model. The record is from RNAcentral. Lineage: Bacteria; Bacillati; Bacillota.
UGGAUCCAGACUUUGAUCCUGGCUCAGGACGAACGCUGGCGGCGUGCUUAACACAUGCAAGUCGAACGAGAAGAGAUAAGAAGCUUGCUUCUUAUCGAUUCGAGUGGCAAACGGGUGAGUAACGCGUAAGCAACCUGCCCUCUAGAUGGGGACAACAGCUGGAAACGGCUGCUAAUACCGAAUACGUUCUUUCUGUCGCAUGGCAGAAGGAAGAAAGGGAGGCUCUUCGGAGCUUUCGCUGGAGGAGGGGCUUGCGUCUGAUUAGCUAGUUGGAGGGGUAACGGCCCACCAAGGCGACGAUCAGUAGCCGGUCUGAGAGGAUGAACGGCCACAUUGGGACUGAGGCACGGCCCAGACUCCUACGGGAGGCAGCAGUGGGGAAUCUUCCGCAAUGGACGAAAGUCUGACGGAGCAACGCCGCGUGAACGAUGACGGCCUUCGGGUUGUAAAGUUCUGUUAUACGGGACGAAAGGUACGACGGCCAAUACCCGUCGUAAGUGACGGUACCGUAAGAGAAAGCCACGGCUAACUACGUGCCAGCAGCCGCGGUAAUACGUAGGUGGCAAGCGUUGUCCGGAAUUAUUGGGCGUAAAGGGCGCGCAGGCGGCGUCGUAAGUCGGUCUUAAAAGUGCGGGGCUUAACCCCGUGAGGGGACCGAAACUGCGAUGCUAGAGUAUCGGAGAGGAAAGCGGAAUUCCUAGUGUAGCGGUGAAAUGCGUAGAUAUUAGGAGGAACACCAGUGGCGAAAGCGGCUUUCUGGACGACAACUGACGCUGAGGCGCGAAAGCCAGGGGAGCAAACGGGAUUAGAUACCCCGGUAGUCCUGGCCGUAAACGAUGGAUACUAGGUGUAGGAGGUAUCGACCCCUUCUGUGCCGGAGUUAACGCAAUAAGUAUCCCGCCUGGGGAGUACGGCCGCAAGGCUGCAACUCAAAGGAAUUGACGGA